UUGUUCUAAAAAAAAGUAGGAGCAUUUACGCCAUGUCCACUAUAAAAGGCUCGUCAUUCAUCUCUUCUCUCUCAAAAGUCACAACUCACCAUUCUGCCAACAACAAGAUUACAAAUUCCUCUGUCAGAAUUAACACAUCAUCUAGCUAAAGAUGAGGGCCACCCUAACGCUGCUGCUACCUCUCGCGUUCCUCCUCCUCGUGCUAGCACCAGCUAAGGCGAGGUGUCGGGUGCAAGGACAAACCCGAGCCGCCUUGUCCAUGCAACCAGGCGGAGUGUAACACCGAUAGCCGCGUAGCGUACGGUCACCUUGGGUGCCCGAAAUCUGCGACCAGCUGCUCUUGGACAGGACUGUGCAUGAGUCAGGGGUGCAACUUCACCUACUGCGUAUAUAGAUAAGAUAGGAAGGCAUGUCGACCUGAUAGAAUAAUAAAGAUGAUACCAUGGAUGGCAAUGCAGUAUGUAGUUCUAUUCGCUGCAAAGUGAUGUACCUGAAUGGUGAAUUAUUUACAUGCCUACCAUGGAUAUGUCUCUUUUUUAUAUUAUCCAGAAAUAAAAAGUGUUCACUUUA
Molecule: long non-coding RNA, 570 nt
Organism: Aegilops tauschii subsp. strangulata
Lineage: Eukaryota; Viridiplantae; Streptophyta; Magnoliopsida; Poales; Poaceae
Source: RefSeq, a predicted model, not a curated record